RNAcentral lists this ribosomal RNA (274 nucleotides) under uncultured bacterium. Its description in RNAcentral is "partial 16S ribosomal RNA". It matches the Rfam family "Bacterial small subunit ribosomal RNA", at positions 523 to 796 of the family's 1533-position model. The record is from RNAcentral.
CUACGGAGGAUGCAAGCGUUAUCCGGAUUUAUUGGGUUUAAAGGGUUCGUAGGCGGAAAAUUAAGUCAGUGGUGAAAGCCUGCAGCUCAACUGCAGAACUGCCAUUGAUACUGAUUUUCUUGAAUUUAUAUGAAGUGGGCGGAAUGCGUCAUGUAGCGGCGAAAUGCACAGAUAUGACGCAGAACACCAAUUGCGAAGGCAGCUCACUAAUGUAAUAUUGACGCUGAGGAACGAAAGCAUGGGGAGCGAACAGGAUUAGAUACCCUAGUAGUCC